GACGAACGCUGGCGGCGUGCCUAAUACAUGCAAGUCGAACGAGAGCACCCGGUGCUUGCACUGGUCAAUCUAGUGGCGAACGGGUGAGUAACACGUGGGUAACCUGCCCAUCAGAGGGGGAUAACAUCCGGAAACGGAUGCUAAAACCGCAUAGGUCUUCGAACCGCAUGGUUUGAAGAGGAAAAGAGGCGCAAGCUUCUGCUGAUGGAUGGACCCGCGGUGCAUUAGCUAGUUGGUGAGGUAACGGCUCACCAAGGCCGUGAUGCAUAGCCGACCUGAGAGGGUGAUCGGCCACAUUGGGACUGAGACACGGCCCAAACUCCUACGGGAGGCAGCAGUAGGGAAUCUUCCGCAAUGGACGCAAGUCUGACGGAGCAACGCCGCGUGAGUGAAGAAGGUUUUCGGAUCGUAAAACUCUGUUGUUAGAGAAGAACAAGUGCUAGAGUAACUGUUAGCGCCUUGACGGUAUCUAACCAGAAAGCCACGGCUAACUACGUG
This 498-nucleotide ribosomal RNA is filed under the name uncultured bacterium. Its description in RNAcentral is "partial 16S ribosomal RNA". It matches the Rfam family "Bacterial small subunit ribosomal RNA", at positions 28 to 507 of the family's 1533-position model. The record is from RNAcentral.